GAUGAACGCUAGCGGCAGGCCUAACACAUGCAAGGUCGGAGGGGUAACAUUGUGCUUGCACAGAUGACGACCGGCGCACGGGUGCGUAACGCGUAUGCAAUCUACCUUUUACAGUGGGAUAGCCCAGAGAAAUUUGGAUUAAUACCAUAUAGUUUAUUAGAGUGGCAUCACUUUAAUAAUAAAGAUUUAUCGGUAAAAGAUGAGCAUGCGUUCUAUUAGUUAGUUGGUGAGGUAACGGCUUACCAAGACAGCGAUAGAUAGGGGCCCUGAGAGGGGGAUCCCCCACACUGGUACUGAGACACGGACCAGACUCCUACGGGAGGCAGCAGUGAGGAAUAUUGGACAAUGGGCGAGAGCCUGAUCCAGCCAUGCCGCGUGCAGGAAGACUGCCCUAUGGGUUGUAAACUGCUUUUAUACAGGAAGAAACACUGCUACGUGUAGCAGCUUGACGGUACUGUAAGAAUAAGGAUCGGCUAACUCCGUGCCAGCAGCCGCGGUAAUACGGAGGAUCCAAGCGUUAUCCGGAAUCAUUGGGUUUAAAGGGUCCGUAGGUGGAUAAUUAAGUCAGGGGUGAAAUCUUGCAGCUCAACUGUAAAAUUGCCUUUGAUACUGGUUAUCUUGAGUUAUUAUGAAGUAGUUAGAAUAUGUAGUGUAGCGGUGAAAUGCAUAGAUAUUACAUAGAAUACCAAUUGCGAAGGCAGAUCACUAAUAAUCAACUGACACUGAUGAC
This 730-nucleotide ribosomal RNA is filed under the name bacterium IMCC11115. RNAcentral describes it as "bacterial SSU rRNA". It matches the Rfam family "Bacterial small subunit ribosomal RNA", at positions 28 to 754 of the family's 1533-position model. The record is from RNAcentral.